Molecule: unclassified non-coding RNA, 330 nt
Filed under: soil metagenome
Description: partial contains 5.8S ribosomal RNA, internal transcribed spacer 2, and large subunit ribosomal RNA
Rfam family: 5.8S ribosomal RNA (bases 1-119)
Source: RNAcentral
GAUGAAGAACGUAGCGAAAUGCGAUAAGUAAUGCGAAUUGCAGAAUCCGUGAAUCAUCGAAUCUUUGAACGCACAUUGCGCCCCCUGGUAUUCCGGGGGGCAUGCCUGUUCGAGCGUCAUUUCACCACUCAAGCCUCGCUUGGUAUUGGGCAACGCGGUCCGCCGCGUGCCUCAAAUCGACCGGCUGGGUCUUCUGUCCCCUAAGCGUUGUGGAAACUAUUCGCUAAAGGGUGUUCGGGAGGCUACGCCGUAAAACAACCCCAUUUCUAAGGUUGACCUCGGAUCAGGUAGGGAUACCCGCUGAACUUAAGCAUAUCAAUAAGCGGAGGA